AAAAAAGGGUGAUAAAAAAGAUAAAGAAGAAUAGCCUAAAGAAGCUGAAUUGCUGAUAGUUUAUCUCUAUUAAAUUGAAUCAAUUAUAUGGACUGGAAAAUUUUAAUGUGAACGGUACUUAAUGCUAUAAAAUGAAAUUGUUUACUGCAUCACUGCCUGAAACAACUUUCUUAACCUGUUGGAGCACUUGGAAUUUGGAAUAUAGAGAAGAAUUGAAGGGCAUACUUUGGUGUCCUAUUCUGUAUCUCUGAUGCUUUCGCUUGUUAGCCACAACUUCUUUUG
RNAcentral lists this unclassified non-coding RNA (282 nucleotides) under Hevea brasiliensis (rubber tree). Lineage: Eukaryota; Viridiplantae; Streptophyta; Magnoliopsida; Malpighiales; Euphorbiaceae. The record is from RNAcentral.